This 399-nucleotide ribosomal RNA is filed under the name uncultured bacterium. Its description in RNAcentral is "bacterial SSU rRNA". It matches the Rfam family "Bacterial small subunit ribosomal RNA", at positions 30 to 416 of the family's 1533-position model. The record is from RNAcentral.
AGUGAACGCUGGCGGCAGGCCUAACACAUGCAAGUCGAGCGGCAGCGCGUCCGACCACCCUCGGGUGGUCGGAUGGCGGCGAGCGGCGGACGGGUGAGGAAUGCAUCGGAAUCUGCCUCGUUGUGGGGGAUAACGUAGGGAAACUUACGCUAAUACCGCAUACGACCUACGGGUGAAAGUGGGGGACCUUCGGGCCUCACGCGAUGAGAUGGGCCGAUGCCGGAUUAGCUAGUUGGCGGGGUAAAGGCCCACCAAGGCGACGAUCCGUAGCUGGUCUGAGAGGAUGAUCAGCCACACUGGAACUGAGACACGGUCCAGACUCCUACGGGAGCAGCAGUGGGGAAUAUUGGACAAUGGGCGCAAGCCUGAUCCAGCAAUGCCGCGUGUGUGAAGAAGGCC